AGCGAACGCUGGCGGCAGGCCUAACACAUGCAAGUCGAACGAACCUUUCGGGGUUAGUGGCGGACGGGUGAGUAACACGUGGGAACGUGCCUUUAAGUUCGGAAUAACUCAGGGAAACUUGUGCUAAUACCGAAUGUGCCCUUCGGGGGAAAGAUUUAUCGCCUUUAGAGCGGCCCGCGUCUGAUUAGCUAGUUGGUUGAGGUAAUGGCUCACCAAGGCGACGAUCAGUAGCUGGUCUGAGAGGAUGAUCAGCCACAUUGGGACUGAGACACGGCCCAAACUCCUACGGGAAGCAGCAGUGGGGAAUCUUGCGCAAUGGGCGAAAGCAUGACGCAGCCAUGCCGCGUGAAUGAUGAAGGUCUUAGGAUUGUAAAAUUCUUUCACCGGGGACGAUAAUGACGGUACCCGGAGAAGAAGCCCCGGCUAACUUCGUG
Molecule: ribosomal RNA, 434 nt
Filed under: uncultured bacterium
Lineage: Bacteria
Description: partial 16S ribosomal RNA
Rfam family: Bacterial small subunit ribosomal RNA
Source: RNAcentral